AAUUUUGCAAAUUAUUUUUGCUGAUUUGAUUUGAUCCAUACUGGCUCAUCUUGAUUUUCCUUUUCUCUUGGGGUUUCAAAGGUAAUUUUUCUUACUGUUGUUGCUUAUAAUCGUAUUUCCUUUAGAUUACACGUUUUUAGAGAUAAUUUGUUAGCUAAACAUAGAAAUUAUGUUGAAUCCUCAUCUUCUGUUGAUUGCCUGUUUUUUUGUGGAAAUGUUAUUAAUUCAAUUUUUUGUUUUGGGUGAGAUUCAAAAUGGGUAUUAAUUCGUUUUCUGUUAUUAUUUCAUUUUCUACGAGUAUCAAACCAUGUGAUCUGUCAUAUUCUAUGUUAAUGUCACCGACUCACCAAACUUGGAAGUUAUCUGAUAUAUUUGUGUAAAAUCAUGCUUUAAUCUAUUGGGUUGUUAUGUUGAUCUUUCACUCGAAUUGGUUUGUGGUGAAUGGUUUAAUUUCAACACAACCUCGAUCUAAGAUUCUGUCAGCCUUAUCUCCAUUAUCUUCUUGUGCAGGGUCUUCCUUGUUUAACUGUUUUUGGGUGAUUGAAAUUCUGAAAUUCAUCCAUUAAUGAUUAAUCUUGCCAUCCAUGUUUAACUGUUCAAGCCUUCAAGGAAUCUAACAGCAAGUGAAGUGAGCAAUUGUUCUAAGGUGAGCAAUUUUUGAGUACUUUUAAUCUUUUAUUAUAAGGUGUGAACUGUGAUUGGGUCAUCAAUUUUGGAACAUUUUCACAUUGUCAUUUGAUUUCAUUUUCUUUGUUUUAUUUUUUGAUUUUAAGUUAAUAAAUUUAGUUCUUCAACAUGAAAAUUAGAACUUUCUUGUGCGGCCAUGACAACGUGUUUGCCUUUGUCAAUUGUGUCUGGAAAUAAAAUUAAAUGUAUGGAUGUUGUAUUGAUUAUGAGUAUUAUUUAUAGUAGUUAUGUAGACAGAUGGAUAGAGUUAGAAGAGGAUUAAAAUUCUAAUAGAUUUAGUUACUUUCACUAUCUCCACGUCUCUGUCAUUCAUCCCUUCUCAAUUUUGUGCAUAACUUGUUUACUAGUUUACUCGUUAAAAGAGGAUUAAAAUUCUAACUUAAAAAAAUUUGGAAACUACUUUUUGCUCAGGAGAAUGUUCUAUUUCACUAGUAUACAUUUAAAUGCAACCUCCUGCUCACAAAAAAUAAUUACUACUCUAGCUGGGCUUCCAAGUUCACGAGUAGAUAUCCACUUGGUAAUCAAGUAUUCUUUCAGAAAAAAUUGAACACUGAUUAAUUCAAUUUCUUAGCUAUUUAUAUCCAUAUACAUGCAUAGACAAUAUAAUGUUUUUUUAAAUCACACAUAUGCGCCUCUGAUUUUUAGUUUGUUUUACUUCAAUUUUGUUUCUUAUGGAUGAUCCAGGAAUUCAACUACGCCAGCUAUAUACUGCGUAUCUUGGUUUAUUGUUGUUCAGGGGGAAGAUUUAGCCCCUGUUGACAUAUUGGCAUAUC
RNAcentral lists this long non-coding RNA (1460 nucleotides) under Olea europaea subsp. europaea. Lineage: Eukaryota; Viridiplantae; Streptophyta; Magnoliopsida; Lamiales; Oleaceae. The record is from RNAcentral.